GACGUAGGGGGCGAGCGUUGUCCGGAUUUAUUGGGCGUAAAGCGCGCGCAGGCGGUUCGGAAAGUCGGGUGUGAAAACCCGGGGCUCAACCCCGGACCUGCAUCCGAUACUCCCGGACUGGAGGCAGGUAGGGGAGAGCGGAAUUCCCGGUGUAGCGGUGAAAUGCGCAGAUAUCGGGAAGAACACCGGUGGCGAGGGCGGCUCUCUGGACCUCCUGACGCUCAGGCGCGAAAGCUAGGGGAGCGAACAGG
RNAcentral lists this ribosomal RNA (251 nucleotides) under uncultured bacterium. Its description in RNAcentral is "partial 16S ribosomal RNA". It matches the Rfam family "Bacterial small subunit ribosomal RNA", at positions 524 to 776 of the family's 1533-position model. The record is from RNAcentral.